UACGACUAUAUCACGUUGAAACGUUAGUUCCCGUCUGAUCACUGAAGUUAAGCAACGUCGAGCCUGGUCAGUACCUAGAUGGACGACUGUUUGGGAAUACCAGAUGCUGUAAG
Non-coding RNA from Acanthosepion pharaonis, 113 nucleotides. NCBI's taxonomy places the organism in Eukaryota, Metazoa, Mollusca, Cephalopoda, Sepiida, Sepiidae. The record is from the annotation of a GenBank genome assembly.